Molecule: ribosomal RNA, 253 nt
Filed under: uncultured bacterium
Lineage: Bacteria
Description: partial 16S ribosomal RNA
Rfam family: Bacterial small subunit ribosomal RNA
Source: RNAcentral
UACGUAGGGUGCGAGCGUUAAUCGGAAUUACUGGGCGUAAAGCGUGCGCAGGCGGUUCGUUAAGUUCGAUGUGAAAGCCCCGGGCUCAACCUGGGAAUGGCAUUGGAAACUGGCGGACUCGAGUGUGGCAGAGGGGGGUGGAAUUCCGCGUGUAGCAGUGAAAUGCGUAGAGAUGCGGAGGAACACCGAUGGCGAAGGCAGCCCCCUGGGUUAACACUGACGCUCAGGCACGAAAGCGUGGGGAGCAAACAGG